GUGCUUGCUUCGGCAGCAUGCAUACUAAAAUUAGAAUGAUAUAGAGAUUAGUAUGGCUCCUGUGCAAAGAUGAGAUGCAAACUCAUAAAGCAUUCAUAUUUUAU
Molecule: small nuclear RNA, 104 nt
Organism: Pipistrellus kuhlii (Kuhl's pipistrelle)
Lineage: Eukaryota; Metazoa; Chordata; Mammalia; Chiroptera; Vespertilionidae
Source: RefSeq, a predicted model, not a curated record